RNAcentral lists this long non-coding RNA (447 nucleotides) under Lathyrus oleraceus (garden pea). RNAcentral's name for it is "Pisum sativum (pea) long non-coding RNA (PSAT_LNC002071)". Lineage: Eukaryota; Viridiplantae; Streptophyta; Magnoliopsida; Fabales; Fabaceae. The record is from RNAcentral.
AACAAAACGCUUACAUGUUAACUCACACAACGACAAUGAAAUCCAAAUGUCGCACGUCAACAAAAGAAAUAAUAGCAAACUGCUAACGCGAAACACGCUCAUCGCAAUUCAAAAAAAUUAUAAAAACCAAUGCUAAUGAUUUUAACAUUUAGACUUGGUUUCAACAUAAGGAAAAUGAAAACAGAAACACAAUGUAACUCAAUAAAUUUUUACAAUAUUACAACAAAAGGAAAAAAAUCCAACAGAGUCACGACAUACGAAUCACGUCAAACACACGAAACAUUCAGAUCCGAUCUCAAUGUGACAAGAAAACAAAAAGCAUCACACACACAGUCCCAAAUUAUUUACAUCAUCUCAGAGUGUUUACAACAUCCAAAAUAAAAAAUCCAGCAUACACAGCGGAGCUGAACGCAAUCGACUCGAAAUUUAAAUAUAUGAUAAAACAAC